UGCAAGUCGAGCGGAAGGCCCUUCGGGGUACUCGAGCGGCGAACGGGUGAGUAACACUUGGGCAACCUGCCCCUCGCUCUGGGAUAACUCCGGGAAACCGGGGCUAAUACCGGAUACGACCACGGACGACAUCGUCCGUGGUGGAAAGUUUUUCGGCGAGGGAUGGGCCCGCGGCCUAUCAGCUUGUUGGUGGGGUAACGGCCCACCAAGGCGACGACGGGUAGCCGGCCUGAGAGGGCGACCGGCCACACUGGGACUGAGACACGSCCCAGAYUCCUACGGGAAGGCAGCAGUGGGGAAUAUUGCGCAAUGGGCGAAAGCCUGACGCAGCGACGCCCGCGUGAGGGAUGAAGGCCUUCGGGUUGUAAACCUCUUUCAGCAGGGACGAAAUCAGACGGUACCUGCAGAAGAAGCACCGGCCCAACUACGUGCCAGCAGCCGCGGUAAUACGUAGGGUGCAAGCGUUGUCCGGAAUUAUUGGGCGUAAAGAGCUCGUAGGCGGUUUGUCGCGUCGGCUGUGAAAACUCGGGGCUCAACCCCGAGCCUGCAGUCGAUACGGGCAGACUAGAGUGCUGUAGGGGAGACUGGAAUUCCUGGUGUAGCGGUGAAAUGCGCAGAUAUCAGGAGGAACACCGGUGGCGAAGGCGGGUCUCUGGGCAGUAACUGACGCUGAGGAGCGAAAGCGUGGGGAGCAAACAGGAUUAGAUACCCUGGUAGUCCACGCCGUAAACGGUGGGUGCUAGGUGUAGGUCGUAUUCCACGCGAUCUGUGCCGCAGCUAACGCAUUAAGCACCCCGCCUGGGGAGUACGGCCGCAAGGCUAAAACUCAAAGGAAUUGACGGGGGCCCGCACAAGCAGCGGAGCAUGUGGCUUAAUUCGACGCAACGCGAAGAACCUUACCAAGGCUUGACAUGCAGGGAAAUCUCACAGAGAUGUGAGGUCCGCAAGGGUCCUGCACAGGUGGUGCAUGGUUGUCGUCAGCUCGUGUCGUGAGAUGUUGGGUUAAGUCCCGCAACGAGCGCAACCCUCGUUCUAUGUUGCCAGCGCGUUAUGGCGGGGACUCAUAGGAGACUGCCGGGGUCAACUYSGAGGAAGGUGGGGACGACGUCAAAUCAUCAUGCCCCUUAUGUCUUGGGCUGCACACAUGCUACAAUGGCCGGUACAAAGGGCUGCUAAACCGCGAGGUGGAGCGAAUCCCAAAAAGCCGGUCUCAGUUCGGAUUGGGGUCUGCAACUCGACCCCAUGAAGUCGGAGUUGCUAGUAAUCGCAGAUCAGCAACGCUGCGGUGAAUACGUUCCCGGGCCUUGUACACUCCAACCGUCACGUCACGAAAGUCGGUAACACCCGAAGCCAGUGGCCCAACCGCAAGGAGGGAGC
This 1377-nucleotide ribosomal RNA is filed under the name Frankiales bacterium. RNAcentral describes it as "bacterial SSU rRNA". It matches the Rfam family "Bacterial small subunit ribosomal RNA". Lineage: Bacteria; Bacillati; Actinomycetota; Actinomycetes; Frankiales. The record is from RNAcentral.